This 500-nucleotide ribosomal RNA is filed under the name uncultured bacterium. Its description in RNAcentral is "partial 16S ribosomal RNA". It matches the Rfam family "Bacterial small subunit ribosomal RNA", at positions 30 to 523 of the family's 1533-position model. The record is from RNAcentral.
AUUGAACGCUGGCGGCAUGCCUUACACAUGCAAGUCGAACGGCAGCACGGGAGCAAUCCUGGUGGCGAGUGGCGAACGGGUGAGUAAAGUAUCGGAACGUGCCCAGUCGUGGGGGAUAACGUAGCGAAAGUUACGCUAAUACCGCAUACGAUCUAUGGAUGAAAGCGGGGGAUCGCAAGAACUCGCGCGAUUGGAGCGGCCGAUAUCAGAUUAGGUAGUUGGUGGGGUAAAGGCUCACCAAGCCGACGAUCUGUAGCUGGUCUGAGAGGACGACCAGCCGAAAUGGGACUGAGAACCGGCCCAGACUCCUGCGGGAGGCAGCAGUGGGGCAUUGUGGACAAUGGGCGAAAGCCUGAUCCAGCCAUGCCGCGUGCAGGAUGAAGGCCUUCGGGUUGUAAACUGCUUUUGUACGGAACGAAAAGGUUUGGCCUAAUAAGCUGAGCUCAUGACGGUACCGUAAGAAUAAGCACCGGCUAACUACGUGCCAGCAGCCGCCGUAA